AGCCAGGACGCCGGCCGGCCGGCCGCGAGCGCCCGGUGCGGGGCCGAGUUCGGCGGGAGCGCCUCCGUGACGAGCAACAGGUUCCCCCAACUUGGCGCAGCGGAGACGGCGUCCAAAAUGGAGCCCCAGCCGUCUGCCAGAGCUGUGCUCACGUGCGGCCCUUUUACGACACCAGGGAGCUCCUUUGCGGCCGCGCGGCCCCGGCGCCGCGCUCCGUCCGCGGUCCGUAGGUCCCGGCACGCCGAGGGCGCAGGGCUGGGUCCGAAGGCCUGGCGGUGUAGACGUCGGCCUCUUUGCGCCCGUGUGGCGCGCAGCGUGGUCCGGGGACGGCGCUGACUGCGUUGUACUCUUAGCUGCUUAACGUUCUCAGUCGUGAGUAGCCGAAUUGGGUCGGCACUGCUAGAGUCCUUUAGUGCAGCGGACUACGGGGGGGCGUGCUGAGCGUCAGGGGUUUGGGUCUGGGCCGUCCCGCCCCGGCCGCCACCCGCCCUGGCCUCCCGGGAGGUGGCUGUCCCCGACGCUCCCUGCCUGGCCCUGCUCUCCAUGCCGCCCAGCCCAGCCUCCGCCCGGAUUUUUGCUCGAAGCUUUCACCAGGACAACCAGACCCACCUGAUGAGACUUCUUCGAUGCACUGGACCAAUUUGGAAAAGAAUCAGAAUGCCUUCUGUUGAGCUGAUCAAAGGAACACCAAGGAUUGCCAACAGUCACCAGAAGCCGGAUGGGACAAGGAAAGAUUCUCUCCUUGAGACUUCAGAGGGAGCAUGGCCCUGCCGACACCUUCAUUUCUGAUUUCUAUCCUCUUGAAUUUUUCAGGUGUACAAAAUAGUGAUUCAACAAUUGUGUACAUUACUCAGGUGGCCAUCACGCUUUAUUCCAGUAUGGAAACCGCAGCCCUUGAUCAGCUGAGUGCCGCUAGGAACCAUCGCCAAGAGGCUGCAGGAAAGCCCAGGGCUUGGGGGAGUCUAGUCGCAGCUGGUGGUAAAGAAAUGUCUUC
Molecule: long non-coding RNA, 994 nt
Organism: Herpailurus yagouaroundi (jaguarundi)
Lineage: Eukaryota; Metazoa; Chordata; Mammalia; Carnivora; Felidae
Exons: 4
Source: RefSeq, a predicted model, not a curated record